RNAcentral lists this non-coding RNA (23 nucleotides) under Arabidopsis thaliana (thale cress). Lineage: Eukaryota; Viridiplantae; Streptophyta; Magnoliopsida; Brassicales; Brassicaceae. The record is from RNAcentral.
AACCGCAGCGGAUCAUCUACGGA